Transfer RNA from Ectocarpus siliculosus, 71 nucleotides. It matches the Rfam family "tRNA". From Rfam's summary of the family: Transfer RNA (tRNA) molecules are approximately 80 nucleotides in length. Lineage: Eukaryota; Phaeophyceae; Ectocarpales; Ectocarpaceae. The record is from Rfam.
ACGCGUGUGGUGUAGUGGUAACAUAAGUGCCUUCCAAGCACUUGCCCGGAGUUCGAUUCUCCGUACGCGUA